This 329-nucleotide ribosomal RNA is filed under the name uncultured eukaryote. RNAcentral describes it as "partial 18S ribosomal RNA". It matches the Rfam family "Eukaryotic small subunit ribosomal RNA", at positions 1470 to 1796 of the family's 1831-position model. The record is from RNAcentral.
CCCUUAGAUGUUCUGGGCCGCACGCGCGCUACACUGACGAUGUCAACGAGUCUCUCCUUGGCCGAAAGGUCUGGGUAAUCUUCUGAAACAUCGUCGUGCUGGGGAUAGAUCAUUGCAAUUUUUGAUCUUGAACGAGGAAUUCCUAGUAAGCGCGAGUCAUCAGCUCGCGUUGAUUGCGUCCCUGCCCUUUGUACACACCGCCCGUCGCUACUACCGAUUGAAUGGUUUAGUGAGGACUCCUGAUUGGCGCCGCCGCCCCGGCAACGGAGCAGUGGACUGCCGAAAAGUUGUUCAAACUUGAUCAUUUAGAGGAAGUAAAAGUCGUAACA